Molecule: ribosomal RNA, 253 nt
Filed under: uncultured bacterium
Lineage: Bacteria
Description: partial 16S ribosomal RNA
Rfam family: Bacterial small subunit ribosomal RNA
Source: RNAcentral
UACGGAGGAUGCAAGCGUUAUCCGGAAUGAUUGGGCGUAAAGCGUCCGCAGGUGGUUAUGCAAGUCUACUGUUAAAGAGUGAAGCUUAACUUCAUAAAGGCCGUGGAAACUGCAUGACUAGAGUGCGUUCGGGGCAGAGGGAAUUCCUGGUGUAGCGGUGAAAUGCGUAGAUAUCAGGAAGAACACCGGUGGCGAAGGCGCUCUGCUAGGCCGUAACUGACACUGAGGGACGAAAGCUAAGGGAGCGAAUGGG